This 400-nucleotide unclassified non-coding RNA is filed under the name soil metagenome. Its description in RNAcentral is "partial contains 5.8S ribosomal RNA, internal transcribed spacer 2, and large subunit ribosomal RNA". The stretch from base 1 to 122 matches the Rfam family "5.8S ribosomal RNA", at positions 35 to 154 of the family's 154-position model. The record is from RNAcentral.
GAUGAAGAACGCAGCGAAAUGCGAUACUUGGUGUGAAUUGCAGAAUCCCGUGAACCAUCGAGUCUUUGAACGCAAGUUGCGCCUCAAGCCAUUAGGUUGAGGGCACGUCUGCCUGGGCGUCACAUAUCGUUGCCUGAUGCCAGUUUCCUCGUGAUGGGUGACUGUGCAGGGCGAAUGAUGGCUUCCCGUGAGCAUUGUUGCCUCAUGGUUGGUUGAAAAUUGAGUCCUUGGUAGGGAGCGCCGUGAUAGAUGGUGGUUGAGUGACGAACGAGACCCAAUCAUGUGAGACCCCUACCGAAUUUGGCCUUCAUGACCCACAUGCGUCUUUGGAACGCUCAUGACGAGACCUCAGGUCAGGCGGGGUUACCCGCUGAGUUUAAGCAUAUCAAUAAGCGGAGGA